CAGUCGCGGCAACAUUGACAAUGGGCAAGGAAGACAGAAUGUACGACAUUCUCUUCAACAUGAAGUUUGCGUCGAAGCAGAUGUCGAAGAGCGCCGCCGUGUCCGAAAAGGCGGCGGAGCGGGAGAAGCUGAACGUCAAGAAAGCGUUGGAGAAGGGCAACCCCGAGGCGGCCCGUAUCUACGCCGAGAACGCGAUUCGCAAGCGCAACGAGGGCCUGAAUUAUCUCCGUCUCGCCUCCCGCCUCGACGCCGCCUCGUCGCGCAUACAAACUGCCAUGCAGAUGAAGAUGGUUACUAAGACUAUGUCCACCACGGUGAAGGGCAUGGACAAGAUUCUCACCUCCAUGGACCCCAUGAAGAUCGCAAAGGUGAUGGACGCCUUUGAGCAGCAGGUCGGCGCGAUGGACGUAAAUCUGGGCACAAUGGAUGCUGCCUUCGAGAGCUCUUCAGCUGGCACGGUGCCGGUGGCCCAGGUAGACUCGUUGAUGGAACAGCUGGCUGCGGAGAAUAACAUCGAUCUUAGUGCGAAGCUUGGCAAUGGACCGUUGGGUAGCAGCAUUGCGAUGCCCGCGCGAAAGCAGGAUGUAGACGAAGACGACAUUGCUGAGCGCCUCAAGGCGCUGCAGGCGCUGUAAGGUUAGACAGGGGUGAGUAGCCGAAGGGGUACGCAUGCCUCGUGUCACAGUGAAUAAAGUUUUUUUUUCGGGUGGGCAAGCGUGACAGCGAUGUAUUACGUGAGUAGGCUUGUCUGUCUUCCCCAUCCUCCUCAUCGCGGCAUCUGUGGAGCUCACUCUUUCGCAUCGAAUGGCGCGCAGUUCUCGUGUCGUGUGCGAUUUUCUGCGCUUUCACAGAAGCGACGGCUGCCGGCGUUGUCGUCUCUCUCUCUCGAACUCCAUCGCAGCUGAUCCAUCUCUUUUUGCCCUUCACCACGCUUGCUUCCACCACUGACAGCGGCAGAAUCGCUAUACGGCUUGUGUGUGCGUGUGCGUGUUCGUACGGCUGCCGCGUAGUGACCGAAGAUCUGAGCGAAAGGCUAGAGGGCCAGACACACACACACACACACACACACACACACACAGGCACUGACAGACGUAGAGCAACUCUUACUAGUCCACCAGAAAGUAGGCAUGCCGGAGGUGCUCACGUAACGAUCCACUUUCAUGAGUCGGGGCGAGAAGAGGAGGAAGGUGCGGGAAUGAAGCGGAGAGAGGAAGGGAGAAGUGCUCCACGGAAGCCCUUGUAGACAGUAGCACAGGCGCUCUCUCCUCAAGCUCCCAUCUCCGUGUCUGCCUCAAAACACCGGUGGCUGCUCAGCCGCGCUUUUCCUUUCUCUUCCUCUUGCCGCUCCUCUGCCUUUGCCUUGCCGCCCUUCGUGAACAGCCCUCAUAUCGACUGCUAAAAGUGCCCUUCUGUUAUUUGGUGCCCUGUGUGUGUGCGUUUGUGUCUCUCCUUCUCUCUAUAGGUGUGCACAUGUGGGUGCUUGCGUUUGUGCCAGCGUGUUCGUGUGCGUGAGUAUUUUUGUUCUUUUCGCUUGCUGAUGUUGUGUGUUGGUCGAUCGCUUGCUGCGCCAUUGGUCCUCUCUCUCGCUCUCUCUGUCUGCCCUUCCCUACCCUAUCCCUUGGUCUCGCUGUGCUUCCCAUUCCAUGCCGGCCUACCUGCCAAGCCUCUCUGCCGGGGUGCGCCUUGCAUGUGUAUGUUUGUAUGUAUGUGUGUGCUUGUGCGCGAUGCGCGCGGCAUGGCGGUGUCUGCUCUUGGUACCUCAAACGGCCCUUCUUUUUCUUGCUCGCUUCGAUUGUGAAAUUUGUUUUCUAAGAAUUUGGUGCGCAUCUUCGCGCAUCCCGUGCCCAUCCGCACAUACAAUGUCACAGACGUGUCUGCGCCGUCGAACCCAGUGCAUCUGUGUCGCAUCAGAUCUUGUGCUUAGGCGUGCGUUAUAUAUAUAUAUAUGUGUGUGUGCGUGUGUGUGCGCCUGGGCGUGCUACGCAUUUGUGCGAUGAGCGUGCCUCCUCUCUUCCCCGUCCUUGGUCGUUUCGGCGCGUUGCUAUCCUUUGUUUUUUUUUGUUUCGCUCUUGCCGUUCUACUGAGCCUGGUGCGGUCUUAACAUCAAAGACUGCCGCGGAACAAUAGCAGCCAAACCUUGGUCCUCGCCCUCAUCGCCCACAAAAAGGAGCGGAAGAGCCUGGCGGCACAGCGCCAACACGAGUCGAGAGAGCGAAGGGCUAUACAAGCAGAAAGCGAAGCGGUUAAGCCUCUGCCAUCGUAGGACUCCAGCGCCUCGUUGCCUUCGACGCGAAGGGUAAGGGCAUUGAGGAUAGCGAAGAGCACUGUGUGCUGGUGCUGAGAACAUGUAGGUGGGCGGAAGGGGUGGAGAGAAGAAGUGCACUCGCAAGCUGUGUGUUCUGCUGUCGUAAGGAGUGCUGCGGGCGCGAUUUACUCCUCUCCGUGUGUGCGCGUGCCCGCUUUUCUCUCUCGCUAUCCAUUUCAGACCUCAUCCACCGCCGUCGCCGCCACCACCACCGCCCUCUCGCGAGGCGAGAGAGGUCUGCCCAGGUGCAUGGCUGGCCCGUCGACUUCCAUGCGAUUUUUCCCGCGUCCCUCUUCUCCAUCCUCCGGGUACGAUUGCCAUCGUUCUAUUUCAUUCGUGUCUUUUCCUCCAUCGCGUUCACCGUGUCGACCUCGCUGAUGCACCCGCACGGUGGAUGCACUUCCUCUCCCAUCUCUGCCACGCACUCGUGCGCAAACAAAG
RNAcentral lists this unclassified non-coding RNA (2746 nucleotides) under Leishmania donovani. Its description in RNAcentral is "gene:LdHU3.33.2920(CDS-product:vesicular_protein_ trafficking_mediator_putative)". The record is from RNAcentral. Lineage: Eukaryota; Euglenozoa; Kinetoplastea; Trypanosomatida; Trypanosomatidae.